UGACGACACAGGAGCAACAGGAAACGAUGGCUGGUCACGUGACGGAGCACCGUCUACGGCGCUGACUGUGGGACAAACUUCAACAGCAACAACAACAAAAAAAAAAAAAGUGGUUUAUAAUAAACUAAUUAAUGUGGUUGUAAGCAGAGUUAACACACUUUUUAAGGUGCUUAUUACUCAAUUUGUUAAAAAAAAAAAACUACUGUAGUAACUCAAAUAUUAUAGUAAUUAGAUUACUUUCCCCUGUAACUAACGUUAAUAGUGUAACUAAUUACUAAUACAUUUCAGUAAUAACAUUACAGCCCCCCCAACACAAAUAAUUAGUUACUAUAUUACUUUUGUUACAUUAUUAUAUUACUAUUAAUAUAGUAAUAGUCACAUAUUUAUAUUAUUUUUUGUAGUUGUGGAGGAAGAUAUUUAUUUUACUUACAUUACUUUUAACAAACAAAACUGGAUUUUAAUUGGCUUAAUGGUGAAUUUUGUGGAGAACAAUUACCAAUUGCUUGGGGAAUAGCAGAAAAGUAAUGUAAUUACUGUUGUAAAAGUAUUCCACGCAGGAAAAACUGUGUGACUGUUAUAUAUUAUUAUUAUUAUUAUUAUUACUCAUGCAUUAAUGUAAAGGCAGGAUUUUACUGUUGUAGUUGGUUGAGUAGGAACUCAUUUUUGCUAUUUUAUAGAGAAACUAAUAACUAAAAUAACUAAUUAUUUUCUUUAUUAAUAGAUUUGAUUGAUUGUUCGGAUUCUAAAACUUCGGAAAAUAUAGUGACAUUAGUCCUAAACUGAACCAUGAAAUGUAUUUUAAAAUGACUAUAAACAAUUAAUAGUCAAAAUCAGAAUAGUUGCCAUACAUUUUUUGUGUAUCUGUAUCAAUCUGUAUUGAUCGACUAAUUAUUUCAGGUUUACUUGUACAUGUUGUUACAUUGAGUAGAGUAGAGUUUAAUCUAUAACAAAAUAUACAAUUUUGGACGCAUAAAUCUGUCAAAUAAUUGUAUUGGAGUAUAAGUAGAAAGAAGAUACUCGAGUAAAGUGACACAAAUUUGUACGUACUUAUAUUUUGUAAGUACAGUGCUUGAGUAAAUGUGAAACUAUGACUGUACAUUCAUAGUUGCAUAUUUUUUUUCCUGUUGGUGGUCCAGCUUUGCCAAUAUAUAUUAUUGGAUCUUAUUACCAAUACACAGUGAAAGUUCUCUCGGUCAAAUCAACAGGCCGCAACAAAUCAAGUCCAUCCAAAUAUAACUUCUGUGAUCUAAUAAGUGUGACUUACUCUUUCAUAAUUAUGAUAAUUAUCUCAAUUUGGAUGUAAUUCAUACAAACAUUUGCUUUGGUGGAGUUUGUUUUUGAGAAUGGGGCUUCAUACAAUGGAAGAAAUAGAACAGAUGAAAAGAAAUGUGACUUGACCUCACCCAGUUUUGUUGGUAUUUGUCAUGUGAGGCUGAAUAGUCUGGUCCUAUUACUCUGACAGGACACACAGAAGGAGUGGCGGAGGUGGUUUAUCUAUCAGUGCGUCAAUAGAAACAUCUGUUUACACAGAGAACACGUUUUCCCACAAAGUUUAUCUCAAAACUUGCACCAAACUGCAUGACACAACUAAGAACACCUGUGGGUGGGUUGUGGUAUCUUGCAGUUUUUUGAGUGUGAUGUGCUGCCUAAAUUUGUCCACUAGGUGGUGCUCUAUUUCCACCAGAGCAUAAAAACUGAGGUCAAAGCACCUGCCCUUGUCAGAUUAGACCAUUAACUGUAUAUUUUUUAUUAAGAUUAGACUUAUUUGGUUGCAUACAGUGCUGUAGUUUGUCAUUGUAACGUUUCUAUUCUAAUUGCGUACCUGAUUUUGAGUGCAAACAUAUGAAAUGCAUUUUAAAUCUAUACACAUCAAUGAAUUAAAUAAAUCACAUGGCAAUAAUUUCUUUAUUGGCCAAAAAAUCCCCAAAUUUGUGUUUGUAUUUUGGUCUUAGGGUUAGUGCCAGCCCUUUUAACCAGUGUCCAUCUGUUAAAGUUGUCUUCCCACUGAAAAUAUAAUAGCUUAAUAAAAAACUAUGCCUUGAAGUUUUCCAGUUUGUUGCACAUCAAAGAGCUUUGGUAAGACACAAUAAAGAUGGAAACCAACAAAAACAGGGGUGGCUGAGGUUGCAUUUCUUAACCAAAACAGACUACUCUGCACAGAAGGUUUUUCCCCGAGACGUGAUUGUUGAAUUUAGCCAUGCUCAAGUGAUUAAAUGUUUAAAAUAUGACAUUUGGUUGUUGACCUCAUCAUUCAGUUGGCAAUCUUAUCAUUAUUGUUCUUAUGUAUUAAUUGUUUGCCUCAUUUUCCACCCUGUAAAUAACUUUUAACUGCUUUUGCAUGAGAAGUGCUAUACGAAUAAACAUAUAUGACAUGAAAA
Dicentrarchus labrax (European seabass) is the source of this 2378-nucleotide long non-coding RNA. RefSeq lists it as uncharacterized. Lineage: Eukaryota; Metazoa; Chordata; Actinopteri; Moronidae. The transcript has 2 exons. The record is from RefSeq and is a predicted model, not a curated record.